This 3886-nucleotide long non-coding RNA is filed under the name Mus musculus (house mouse). RNAcentral's name for it is "long non-coding RNA chr3:84873890-84877776". Lineage: Eukaryota; Metazoa; Chordata; Mammalia; Rodentia; Muridae. The record is from RNAcentral.
UAUUCUGUACUUAUUGGCGGAGUAAAUUAUGUUAGAUGUUAAUGCUUGGUACCUGUUCUUACACUAGCACAAUACUUUAUUUAUUUAUUUAUUUAUUUAUUUAUUUAUUUUACCUUCUUUAGCUCCCCUACUUCCCAUAUUUGCUAGAGAGGUUUAUUAGCAGCAGUUAAGACUGUACCCUAAUGUCUCUGAUGAGCAUCUCAAAAGGUAGCAACAUGGCUAAAGCUUGCUUUUACAAGUUCUGUUGAUAAAUCAUUUUAGACACUUAGUCUGAUAGUCCCUUGCAUUUUCCAUGUACUGUGUUCUUUGGCUUGUCUGGCAGCAGCACAGGAAGGUAGACUUAACGGCAGUCCAGCUCAAAUGCAUCUACAGAUGAGAAUUUAUCUUCUGUUUAGCAUACAGUGUUUUCAGCAGGCGAGUACGAUGUUACUGAAUUAUUUUGCUUGUUUCUUUCUACAGUCGUUAUUUAUAGAACUUUUUUCCCCCCUUGUGAAGUACAUGCCUGUUUCUAGGUAUUCUGAAAAAACUGAUUUAAGUAUAACAUGAGUUAAGUCUAGAAGGACAGUGCAAGGUGAAGGCAGAAAGAGUACUGACUCUUUUUAGCUCUAAAGCAGGGAAGGGACUGAGCGUGGGAAGGGACUGAGCGUGACACACACACACACACACACACACACACACACACACACACACACGCAGAGCAGGGAAGGGACUGAAUGUGAGACACACACAUACACAGAGCCUUUCAAUGCCUCAAACAUAGGCUCUUCUAUAGAAGGUAUUUUGUUAUUUUUAGUUUCCUUUUUCUUUUUCUUAAAGGUGUAUUAAAAAGAGUUGACAUCAUUGGUAUCUGAAUGUUCAUUAAAUUAUUUUGAAUAUGAUUAUUUAAGAAGACUAACAUGUUUGUAUUAAUGUGACUCUAAUUCUGGGAAUUCAGAAAGAAUUAUAAUUACUGGAUACAAGUAACUGUUAUCAGGAAAGGUAGAAUCUUUUAAGUAUAAAAUUGUUAGGGAAUGACUAAUACCUUCAGUGGUGUUUGCUUAUGUUUUCAGUGUAGUUUUCGGGUCUGUCUACUGAAAUGCAAAUGACCAAGGGAAAGAUGCCUCGUCAGCUUAGGUUCCGAUGACUUUUAGUUAUUGCAAAUAGAGCACAUAGCCACAUCCUUUUCUUCUCCGUAAACCUCAGAACACUUAUGACAGCAGGCAUUCCACAGCUCACCUUGCUGCUUGUCUCAUUCUUACCUGUAGUGAAACUCUGCAGUAGAUUUUCUUGUUAUCCCUCAGGUCCAAGUUCAGCAUGCAGAGGGAAUUUCUUUUAACAUUGUAUUCAGUCAUCCUCCUGCCUCUCCCACCACUAUUCAAAGAUUUCUGCUAGCUACUCUCCACAUUUUAUUAUUUUUAAAAAAGCUGUAAGCCCACGUUGUCUGUUUCUCGUUGGGUUUUAGGGUGACUGACUGAGAACAGUUCUGCCUGUAACUGCAAUAGAGAAAUAAAGCGAGUGGGUAUUCUUACUGUGCGUGCUUGGCAGGCAGGCGUCUUAAGUGUAGAGUCAGAGGUCCUCAGUUCUGAGUGGUGAGCUAGAGGCUGUCCAGUGAUUUGCUCCCGCUGUUUCUCAGAGCAGUGCUGCAGCGGUUCUCUCCAGAUCCUGAGGCUUUCUUCAACAGUGUAGAACAGUGAGGGUGGGGCUCUUUCCGGUUGGCUGUUGAAAAAGCGUCCAUUUACAGAGAGAACAGGUUGGAUAGGCUAAGCUGAAGGCGUAGGCAAACAGAUCCAAAACUGAUGGAAGACAGAAAGAGUGGUUAGUAUGUUUUGGGGUGUCUUGAGCUUGCUUCUUUGCUAAGUUCUUGAGCUUUAAUAUAAACACAUUGAAAUAUUAAAGCACUUUACAUUCUUUGUGUAGUAGCCUGGAGACUUAUGCUUUUCACAGUUUCUUGGUGAUGAGUUUGUGGCUGCUAUCUUCUAUAGUAAAGUUGGUUUUUCAUUUGUUUUUAAUUUGCUUUUAGUGGUGUAUCUUUCAGCCAGAGAGCUGCAGAAUGAGUCAGUUAGCCAGUUUUAGUAUAUAUGGGACAUUACUAGUUGUGAUUUUUUAAAGCCAGAUUCUCUUUUAAUGAUCAAGUCAAUGUGUGGCUGUGGCUGCAGCAACAUUAUUUCUUUUUUAAUGAAGAGGUUGAACCGUUCGACUUGCUGCUCCGAUCUUUUCCCUUGUAGCUAUACAUCAGAACAGUUGCAGAGAUUUUCCAUCGAAUGUCCCAGGCAACUAAAGGUAACUACAUAGAUUUAUUUCAAAUAAGAAUACACAGUUAAAAUGGCUGCAUUAUAAGUUGGGCCAAAUGAUUAAACAUAAAAGACCAAUUAAGAUGUUCUUAGCAGUUUUCUUGACCUUGCAGUAGCUAUCCAAUAUCAUUUUGUCAUCAUCAGAUUGUGGCAGUGGAAAUGUACUGCAGUAAUUGAUUUUGUAAUAGGAUCAGGUGAUUUACCAGCGGCACUGAGAACCACUUGCUUGCUCUGAGUGUGCAGCACUCUAAUGACUGUGUGAUUGCAGCCUAGAGCUGAAGUGAGGUGGCUGGCCACCCACAGUAGCAGCGUUUACUUUAGAAAUCACAAGAGUACUAGGAGUUUCUUGUUUGUUUUCUGUGCUAUCAGUUUUACUUCAUGUGUUCAUGUGAAGUCUUAGAAAUUACGAUUUUCUUUUUCACUCACCAGUUCAUAAAAAGUUUAUCGGUUUGACUAACAUUAAGUAUAACAAAACACAUUCUUCUCUCUCUACUUCUGAGCUCAGCAUCAACAUACUGUGCUGCUGACCAUGAGGACACAUGUCUAAAACAUAAGCUUUUGUUAACUAUUGUACAUUAUCUGCAUUAAGGAAAAUAUUCUUAACACCUGCAAAUCUCAUCAUGUUUCAACUCUUAUCUGUAUGGUAAUACUGGGACUAGAGGAAACUAUUGGUCCAGAGAGUUACUAGAAAAUUGUUUUGUGUUUUAUUUUGUGUUUGGAUUUCUCAGUAGUUUAUUUAGCAAAUCUGGACUGUAUAAUUUCUUGGAAAUAUCCAGAAGAACAUUAAGGGCAAGUGUAAUGUUUAAUGAUACUACAAAUUAAUAACUUGGUAUCCAAUUUUAUUUAAUAUCCAAAAUUUAUAAAAUGGCUAUGUUUUAAUAAUGUUUGUGCCUUUAAAGCAAAUAAUUGGUUACAAAUAUGUGUGUACAGAGCUCAUUCUUGAUGCGGAAUGCACCUGCUGUUGUAGGAAUGUGAGACCCUGUGUUGAGAUCCUGGCUGCUGAGAUUUUGCUACAAUGAUCUUUUGCUUAGCUUUGUUGUAUUAGUGAAAAAAAAAAUUACACGCUUUCCCUCCCUCACUCCUUUCCUUGCCAGAACCACCAACUCUUGUGCUUAGUAUGUAAUAGUGUUUUGUACAGAACCACACACACAGGGAAAAUGACUUUUCUGUCAGUCCUUAGAUAUAUUUUUCCUGUUAGCCUUACUAUAUUUCAUAACAGUUAAAAUUAGAUCUUGCAGAAUCAAGAAGAGUUCUGCCAUUGCAUAUGCUAUGUGAGGCGCUUCCCUUUCUGAUAAGCCCAGAGGCUAGUUCUUAAACUGUUUGAAGGCUUGGUGUUUCUUGAAAGGUGAAAAUAUGAACAGUCAUACUUUGGCCAAAUCCAGAUACUUAAAAAGGUAAUUAUAGUUAUGUGUUCUGUUGCUAAUAAUGAUGCAAUAUCAACAUGGAGUUUGUAGUCUUUAUUCUUCUUUGCCAACAACAGAAAUCCCUCUGUAUACAUUGGUAAUGUGUACAUAAGGAUGUUAUUACUAUUUGAGAUUUGUUCAAGGACAUGUCUAAGUUCAAUAUUGAAAAUGUUAAAUGAUGUACCAUCACCAAAUCAAUUACUGAUAAAUAUU